This 253-nucleotide ribosomal RNA is filed under the name uncultured bacterium. Its description in RNAcentral is "partial 16S ribosomal RNA". It matches the Rfam family "Bacterial small subunit ribosomal RNA", at positions 524 to 776 of the family's 1533-position model. The record is from RNAcentral.
UACGAAGGGUGCUAGCGUUGUUCGGAAUCACUGGGCGUAAAGCGUGCGUAGGCGGCUUGACAAGCCAGAGGUGAAAGCCUGGAGCUCAACUCCAGAAUUGCCUUUGGAACUGUCUGGCUAGAGUGUCGGAGGGGAUAGCGGAAUUUCUAAUGUAGCGGUGAAAUGCGUAGAUAUUAGAAGGAACACCGGUGGCGAAGGCGGCUAUCUGGACGACAACUGACGCUGAGGCACGAAAGCGUGGGGAUCAAACAGG